RNAcentral lists this long non-coding RNA (2105 nucleotides) under Pelobates cultripes (western spadefoot toad). Lineage: Eukaryota; Metazoa; Chordata; Amphibia; Anura; Pelobatidae. The record is from RNAcentral.
CAGACACGUCUCAUCAGAGCUCCGGGCACUGACCACAAACCUCAUCAAAUUCCAGGGUACUCUGCAGCCAUCGGACCCCUUACAGGCACUCAUCAUACUCCUGAAGGGGUGAGCUGCAGACACGUGCCUUUCUUGUACUUGAAAUCAGGCAAGAAGGCUUGCUGCAAAUCCGUGGCCUACCUAGGGUAUUCAACCAAGCGGCCCGCCAAACAGGACCUCAAGGCAGAGUUAGCAGAGCUAUACAUCCUGCCCUGGCUGCCUUGCAGCCCUACACAGCGCACAGACAUCAUGGGACGCAGAUCCCUGAAACCUCUGCCUGGCUCCAGCAAAGACUCCCAAGACAUAGGGGAGAUGCUGCAGCGCCCAGCGGAUCCCAAGAUGGCGGACUGGUCAGACAAUGGAAUGCACGUGACAGAAUCCCAAGCUGACCCAACAACACCUGGAGAUGGCAUCUCCCCCACGACACUAAUUGAGGAAAUGGAAGACCAAGACACACUAGCCCCUGCCACCAAACAAGACAGGGAGCUCUGACAGAUGUCAGCGGCCGAUCUAGACGUGGUCCGCACCGAAAUGCAUGCGGUGAAAAUGCGCACACAGACUACAGAGGGCGAAGUCCUGGAACUCAAGCAAGAGGUACAAGGGUUGAAAGACCAAAUGCAAAGCCUACAACACUCACAUACUUCCCUAACACAGAGGGUAAAUAUCAUGCAAUAGACAUGCCAAUAUCAAAAUCGAAGUAUCCUGGAUUCAAUAAGCCAGGCUGAACUGCCACACUACUUAAGGCGACUGACAGAAUCACUCAUGCCUCACUCACAGGCUAAAAAACUUGACAGCUGCUACAGAAUCAAUAAAUGCAGACAGGCCCCAUCCGAUGCCACCCACGACAUAAUUGUGCGCUCUCAUUCCGUGUCGGACAGGAACCACUUCCUGGCUGCAGUGAAGGGCAAAACUCCCUUGGACUUUGAUGCUUCCAAAGUGACAUUUUUUCAGGAUCUUACCAGAAAUACCCUACAAUGGCGGAAGUCCCUAAGCGCAUUCACAAGUCGACUGAGAGAAGCUGGAGUGGAAUAUCGAUGGAUUCUACCGAGAGCCCUUACGGCUACAACAGUGGAUGGCAGAAUUCUAAGACUCACCACCAUACUGGAUUCUUCAAACACUGGGACUAAACCCACAUGCAGAUGAGCCUAAUACCUCCUCCACCACCCAUUCCUGGGAUCUACGCCGAACAAAGUCCUUCGCGCCUGUGGAGAGAGAGAAGCCGGUUGCAGCGACUUGACCAUCCACUAUGCCUAACACUAUUUUGUUUACUUUAUUUCUGUUCAGCAUUCCUACCAUUGAUUUACUUUCACCCUUUUUUCUUAUGCCUCACACUCAGUAGAGUACCGUUAGGCCUACAUAAGCCUAAUCUACUUCAAAAGUCAAUGCCCGCAGAUGGCUCAUAAUAGUCACGAUAGUGCCCGAACCCACAAGACGGUUCGCUAUCUCCCCCCCCUAUAUGUCCCCUAUAGGUUAGGGGUCAUUCAUCCACAAGUUAAAAUGAUUGGUACCUAUAUCACCAACAACGGUGUCACUUAUAAUCACGCCCGACACACCAACCCGAGAAUAAGACACGCUAUACGGAGGACAGGUUGGCCUGGUGUUAGACUAGUCUGUUAUAGCAGAUGACACAGCACACCACCCACAUUUGAGGUACCUACACCUAACUAGAACAACAAUCACCGAUCAUACUGCACAACCACAACAGACACACACAGGCAAAAAAAGUAAAAGAAGCAUGCUAAAGUUGAAUGCUUACAAUUGUUAAGGUUAUACUUCAAUGUCCCAUUUCAACUUACAAUGUGAAUCCUAUGUGUUUGUAAACCUGCCUCAAUAAAACAUUAUUGACAAACAAAAGUGCAAACAUUAAAAGGUAUAAAAAUAUUGAAUAAUUUGACUUGAUUGGAGAUAACAUUGGAAAAGCAAGAAAAUGUAGAAAAGUGGUUUAUAGCAUCAUCUAUAAAAUGAAAUGAAAGAACAGUGCUUUUGUUUAUGAACAAUGCAAAACGUGUAUUUAUUUCUUAUUCUUUAAAGUGAAACUGUAAUGGCUAACUUAAAUUCAAUAAAAU